RNAcentral lists this ribosomal RNA (730 nucleotides) under uncultured Bacteroidales bacterium. RNAcentral describes it as "bacterial SSU rRNA". It matches the Rfam family "Bacterial small subunit ribosomal RNA", at positions 41 to 759 of the family's 1533-position model. Lineage: Bacteria; Pseudomonadati; Bacteroidota; Bacteroidia; Bacteroidales. The record is from RNAcentral.
UACAGGCUUAACACAUGCAAGUCGAGGGGCAGCAUUUUAGUUUGCUUGCAAACUGAAGAUGGCGACCGGCGCACGGGUGAGUAACACGUAUCCAACCUACCGAUAACUCCGGAAUAGCCUUUCGAAAGAAAGAUUAAUACCGGAUAGCAUACGAAUAUCGCAUGAUAUUUUUAUUAAAGAAUUUCGGUUAUCGAUGGGGAUGCGUUCCAUUAGUUUGUUGGCGGGGUAACGGCCCACCAAGACUACGAUGGAUAGGGGUUCUGAGAGGAAGGUCCCCCACAUUGGAACUGAGACACGGUCCAAACUCCUACGGGAGGCAGCAGUGAGGAAUAUUGGUCAAUGGGCGAGAGCCUGAACCAGCCAAGUAGCGUGAAGGAUGAAGGCUCUAUGGGUCGUAAACUUCUUUUAUAUGGGAAUAAAGUUUUCCACGUGUGGAAUUUUGUAUGUACCAUAUGAAUAAGGAUCGGCUAACUCCGUGCCAGCAGCCGCGGUAAUACGGAGGAUCCGAGCGUUAUCCGGAUUUAUUGGGUUUAAAGGGAGCGUAGGUGGAUUGUUAAGUCAGUUGUGAAAGUUUGCGGCUCAACCGUAAAAUUGCAGUUGAAACUGGCAGUCUUGAGUACAGUAGAGGUGGGCGGAAUUCGUGGUGUAGCGGUGAAAUGCUUAGAUAUCACGAAGAACUCCGAUUGCGAAGGCAACUCACUAGACUGUCACUGACACUGAUGCUCGAAAG